RNAcentral lists this ribosomal RNA (424 nucleotides) under uncultured bacterium. RNAcentral describes it as "bacterial SSU rRNA". It matches the Rfam family "Bacterial small subunit ribosomal RNA", at positions 917 to 1344 of the family's 1533-position model. The record is from RNAcentral.
GGGCCCGCACAAGCGGUGGAGCAUGUGGUUUAAUUCGAUGAUACGCGAGGAACCUUACCAGGGCUUAAAUGUAGGUUGCAUGAUCUAGAGAUAGAUCUUUCUUCGGACUACCUACAAGGUGCUGCAUGGUUGUCGUCAGCUCGUGCCGUGAGGUGUCAGGUUAAGUCCUAUAACGAGCGCAACCCCUGUCGUUAGUUACCAGCAAUUAAAGUUGGGUACUCUAGCGAGACUGCCGGUGCAAACCGUGAGGAAGGUGGGGAUGACGUCAAAUCAUCACGGCCCUUACGUCCUGGGCUACACACGUGCUACAAUGGCCGGUACAGAGAGCAGCCACUACGCGAGUAGGAGCGAAUCUUCAAACCCUAUCUCAGUUCGGAUCGGAGUCUGCAACUCGACUCCGUGAAGUUGGAAUCGCUAGUAAUCG